Molecule: long non-coding RNA, 1417 nt
Filed under: Homo sapiens (human)
Lineage: Eukaryota; Metazoa; Chordata; Mammalia; Primates; Hominidae
Description: PREDICTED lncRNA (TCONS_00191819)
Source: RNAcentral
GAAGCCAGGCCAAGAAGAAUCCCAGGACUGGAAGGCCUUGUGGGACGUCCCAGGUUUGUCUUGUGUCAAUAGCACUGAUACUCAAUCUCCUACUCCCAUCUGUGAGCAUGCAGACCCUACUUGCCUUCCCACAGCCUCCCUUUUCAUAUUUUUCAUGUUUCUUUAGCUCUGUCUUCAAGCCUUGUUGCUCCCGCAAAAAAACCUGCCUCUUCCUCCAGUCCUCCCAAGCAGGGGGAACAGUCCUGACACCUUUCCAAGCCCUGGUCCAUGGACAUUGUGCCCCCUUCUCCCUGCCCAUGGUGACCUGCUCCAAAACCCUCAAGGAGAAGGGAGUGUAUGUCAUUUCCUCCCUGUAAAGUAAAGAUAAUUUUGCAGGGGACUGUGUGGAUGAAAUGACAUGAUGCAUGGAAAUCCCUUAGCGUGUGCCUGGCAUGUAAACUGCAGGUGUCAUCAUUAUUACUGAGGAAUACUGAGUCCCGAACAUGGCUGUCUCAUUGGUGGACUGGGGUCUCCCCCAGGGCAUUCAUCUACUAUGUGUUUAUUGCACCCUUUUUCCAUGUGAGGCACAUGCCAGGGACUGGGCACAUGGUAUGAACAAGACACAGGUCAUCGGUGUCCUCUUGAGCUCCCUGGCUUGGCAGCAGAUGCAUACCUGGGAAGGAUGCUAGGUCAUCCGGGAACUCUACCUCCUUCAAAUCCCUAAGGACUGUGCUCCCAAUCCGCUUACGCUCAAGGAAGAACUGGAAGGCCCAGAACCAGCCUGCUGUCAGGAUCAGAACAAAAGAGGAGGACUGCAUAUGUAUGGACCCACUCCAGAUGGCACGGGGACGGGGGGAGUAGGAAAAGUGGCAUGAUGAGGAAAUGGAGGCACAGACUGAUUAGAAAACCAGCUCAAGGUCAUGUUGCUGCUGGGCCUCCUCCAGGCACUGCUUGUGCUGCACCUCGAUCAUCUGCACAUAGUCACACUCCUCCUGCAGCCUGGCCGCCUGGCCGCCCUGAGAACAAAGACAGGGAGGGCCCAUCAGCCUCGUCCAUAGACUCAGGAGCACCAGGCCCAGUCUCUGGACUGCACCUGCCCUCUCCCUGGAAGAGAUCCAAGUUCCAGAUGGAACCCCAAUACCAACCCAAGACUGAAACCUGAACCUGACCCCAACCUGUUGUCCAUUGCCCCCAAACCUGGGUCGGCCCCGAGGACCCUGCCACAGCUUCUUGAUGGCUCCCCCAUUAGUGCUGCAGCUGUAACUGCUUUGUCUCUUUGCGGGUGGCACAACUCCAGAUGGCGGCAAGAGGGCCUCCCCUUAGAGGCCUGAGCUGGCCCUCUGGACUCUGCCACUCUCCAGCUUGGUUUGAGAGUCUGUCCCUGUCUUGAUCUCCCUGAUGAGUGGGGCCAGCUCGUGCUACUACUCUGUUAUGUGGA